GACGAACGCUGGCGGCGUGCUUAACACAUGCAAGUCGAACGAAGUGGCGAACGGGUGAGUAACGCGUAAUCAACCUGCCCUUCAGAGGGGGACAACAGUUGGAAACGACUGCUAAUACCGCAUACUGAAGGAGGGGAUUGCGUCUGAUUAGCUAGUUGGGGGGGUAACGGCCCACCAAGGCGAGGAUAAGUAGCCGGUCUGAGAGGGUGAACGGCCACAUUGGGACUGAGACACGGCCCAGACUCCUACGGGAGGCAGCAGUGGGGAAUCUUCCGCAAUGGACGGAAGUCUGACGGAGCAACGCCGCGUGAGUGAUGACGGUCUUCGGGUUGUAAAGCUCUGUUGUUAGGGAAGCGGUACCUUAAUAGAAAGCCACGGCUAACUACGUGCCAGCAGCCGCGGUAAUAC
Molecule: ribosomal RNA, 408 nt
Filed under: uncultured bacterium
Lineage: Bacteria
Description: partial 16S ribosomal RNA
Rfam family: Bacterial small subunit ribosomal RNA
Source: RNAcentral